AUGUCUCACUUGCCGAUGAAACUCCUGUGCAAGAAGACUGAGAAGCGGAACCUCAAAUUGCAGCAGUGGAACCUGAAGUUGCAGGGGGCCUCAAAUCUGACCCUAUCAGAAAUUCAAAAUGGAGAUGUGUCUGAAGAACACUGGGAGCUGGAAAGUUUAAAAAAUCAAAACAUUCUAUGAAUGUGGGCUUGUCAGAAGCUCAAAAUGGAGACCUGUCUCAUGAAGCAGGGAAAAAUAUAAAAGUUAAAAAUCUCCCCAGAAAUCUAUCGUAUUAACCAAUGGAGAAGCAGCAAUGCAGUCUCCCAAUUCAGAAUCAAAAGAGAAAAAUGCGGAAUGAUGCUGGCCCUGAUACAAGAAAAGCAGAAACUGAAAACAAAGGGGAUUCUGAAUAAGAAAGUACCAAGACUCCUAAAGAAACAGAAAGUAAUGUGUAGAAGCCAGAUCAUGAUGGAGAUGACAGUGAGAUGCCCAGCCUGCCCCUGAAACUCGCAGGAGCUUUUGAGGAUAUUUCAUUGCUUCUCUAUGCCAUCUUGUCAAUGAAAACACUCUGAAUGCAAUAAAAGAAAUGGGUGUUACAAACAUGACUGAAAUUCAGCAUAAAACUAUCAGACCACUCUAGAAGGCAGGGAUCUUCUAGCAGCUGCAGAAACAGGCAGUGGUAAAACCCUGGCUUUUCUCACCCCUGCAGUUGAACCCACUGUUACGUUAAAGUUCAAGCGCAGGAACAGAAGGGGAAUCCAUAUUCUCUCACCUAGCAGAGAAUUAGCCAUGCAAACUUUUGGUGUUCUUAAGGAACUAAUGACUCAGCAUGUGCAUACUUAUGGGUUGAUAACGGGUGGCCGUAACAGAUCUGCUGAAGCACAGAAACUUGCUAACAGGAUCAACAUCAUCUUGGCCACACCAGGGUGUCUGCUGGACCAUAUGCAGAACACCCUGGGGUUUAUGUAUAAACAUCUGCAGUGCCUGGUUAUUGAUGAAGCUGAUCAGAUCUUGGAUGCUGGAUGUGAAGGGGAAUUAAGGCAAAUUAUUAAACUUUUGCCAACACGUAGAUGGAUUAUGCUCUUUUCUGCCACCCAAACUCGAACAGUUGAAGACCUGGCGAGGAUUUCUCUGAAAAAGGAGCCGUUAUACAUUGCUGUUGAUGAUGAUAAAGCUAAUGCAACAGUGGAUGGUCUUGAGCAGGGACAUGUUGUUUGUCCCUCUGAAAAGAGAUGCCUUCUGUUUUUUACAUUCAUUGAGAAGAACCGAAAGAAGGUGCUCAUGGUCUUCUUUUCAUCUUGUAUGUCCGUGAAAUACCACUGUGAGCUGCUGAACUACAAUGAUUUGCCCGUCUUGGCCAUUCAUGAAAAGCAAAAGCAAAAUAAGCGUGCAGCCACAUUCUUCCAGUUCUGCAAUGCAGAUUCAGGAACACUAUUGUAUACAGAUGUGGCGGCAGGAGGACUGGACAUUCCUGAAGUCAACUGGAUUAUUCAGUAUGACCCUCCAGAUGACCCUAAGGAAUAUAGGCAUCGUGUGGGUAGAACAGCCAGAGGUCUAAAUGGGAGAGGGCACGCCCUGCUCAUUUUGCACCCAAAAGAAUUAGAUUUUCUUCAUUAUUUGAAACAAUCCAAGGUUCCAUUAAGUGAAUUUGACUGUUCCUGGUCUAAAAUUUCUGACACUCAGCCUCAGCUUGAGAAAUUGAUUGAAAAGAACUACUUUCUUGAUAAGUCAGCCCAGGAAGUGUGUAAGUCAUACAUACGAGCCUAUGAUUCCCAUUCUCUGAAACAGAUCUUUAAUGUCAAUAACUUAAAUUUGCCUCCAGUUGUUCUGUCAUUCAGUUUCAAGGUGGCUCCCUUUGUUGAUCUGAACAUCAACAGCAAUGAAGGCAAGAAGAAAAAGUGAGGAGGCAGUGGUGGAUUUGGCUACAAGAAAACCAAGAAAGUUGAGAAGUCCAAAAUCUUUAAACACUUUAGCAAGAAAUCAUCCGACAGCAGGCAGUUCUCCCACUGAAGACAUGCCUUUCUUUCAUCUUGAAUAACUUUGUCCUAAAAUGAAUUUUUUCCCCUUGAUUUAACAGAUUUUUUGUAACUUUUAGAAUUUGGACUUAUCUAACAAGAGUAUAAAUUGACUUGGGUUGCAAGCACUGAGCACUGUUACUUCUAUCAAGUUUCUUUUUUAUUUUGGGGAUGUAAAACAGCCUUUAAUUUUCUUGGUUCCCCAAGGGCAGAGCAAGGAAUAUCUGGUCUUAUUGUGAUUAUAUUUUUUAAUUUUAAAUAUCCCUCCCUCAUACAUACAAAUAUAUGUUACUGUUUUAACGUAAUUCUUUUUGUACCU
Molecule: non-coding RNA, 2313 nt
Organism: Saimiri boliviensis boliviensis (Bolivian squirrel monkey)
Lineage: Eukaryota; Metazoa; Chordata; Mammalia; Primates; Cebidae
Source: RefSeq, a predicted model, not a curated record